UACGAAGGGGGCUAGCGUUGUUCGGAAUUACUGGGCGUAAAGCGUGCGCAGGCGGCUUCUCAAGUCAGGGGUGAAAGCCCAGAGCUCAACUCUGGAAUUGCCUUUGAGACUGAGAGGCUUGAGUACGGGGGAGGUGAGUGGAAUUCCCAGUGUAGAGGUGAAAUUCGUAGAUAUUGGGAAGAACACCGGUGGCGAAGGCGGCUCACUGGCCCGUAACUGACGCUCAGGCACGACAGCGUGGGGAUCAAACAGG
This 253-nucleotide ribosomal RNA is filed under the name uncultured bacterium. RNAcentral's name for it is "partial 16S ribosomal RNA". It matches the Rfam family "Bacterial small subunit ribosomal RNA", at positions 524 to 776 of the family's 1533-position model. The record is from RNAcentral.